Molecule: ribosomal RNA, 458 nt
Filed under: uncultured bacterium
Lineage: Bacteria
Description: bacterial SSU rRNA
Rfam family: Bacterial small subunit ribosomal RNA
Source: RNAcentral
GAUUAACGCUGGCGGCAUGCCUAAUACAUGCAAGUCGAACGGAAGCAGCAAUGCUUUAGUGGCGAACGGGUGAGUAACACGUAGGGAACCUACCUAUACGACGAGGAUAACUACUGGAAACGGUAGCUAAAACUGGAUAGGAUCAAUUGAGGCAUCUUGAUUGAUUUAAAGAUCCUUCGGGAUUACGUAGAGAUGGCCCUGCGGCGCAUUAGCUAGUUGGUGAGGUAACGGCCCACCAAGGCGACGAUGCGUAGCUGAGCUGAGAGGCUAAACAGCCACACUGGGACUGAGACACGGCCCAGACUCCUACGGGAGGCAGCAGUAGGGAAUUUUCGGCAAUGGGGGAAACCCUGACCGAGCAAUGCCGCGUGAACGAUGAAGGUUUUCGGAUCGUAAACUUCUUUGAUGAGGGACGAAAAAAUGACGGUACCUCAAAACAAGCCACGGCUAACUCCGUG